AGAGUCCACAAGGGGAGCCUGAACUGGCUGAGAGUGAACAAGUUGUUCUGACCCUAUGAACCUGUUAGUUCAUACUUACGUAGGGAUGUGGCUUUUGGAUGGU
RNAcentral lists this non-coding RNA (103 nucleotides) under Pontibacillus litoralis. RNAcentral describes it as "TPP sequence". It matches the Rfam family "TPP riboswitch aptamer (THI element)". Rfam says of the family: Vitamin B(1) in its active form thiamin pyrophosphate (TPP) is an essential coenzyme that is synthesised by coupling of pyrimidine and thiazole moieties in bacteria. The previously detected thiamin-regulatory element, thi box was extended, resulting in a new, highly conserved RNA secondary structure, the THI element, which is widely distributed in eubacteria and also occurs in some archaea. RNAcentral also lists the same sequence under 1 other name. Lineage: Bacteria; Bacillati; Bacillota; Bacilli; Caryophanales; Bacillaceae. The record is from RNAcentral.